GCCGCGGUGGCACAACCCGGUACUGCGCAGGAUUGCUAAUCCUGUUUCCUUCGGGAUAUCCCGGUUCAAAUCCGGGCCGCGGCG
RNAcentral lists this transfer RNA (84 nucleotides) under Candidatus Woesearchaeota archaeon CG10_big_fil_rev_8_21_14_0_10_44_13. Its description in RNAcentral is "tRNA-Ser". It matches the Rfam family "tRNA". From Rfam's summary of the family: Transfer RNA (tRNA) molecules are approximately 80 nucleotides in length. Their secondary structure includes four short double-helical elements and three loops (D, anti-codon, and T loops). The record is from RNAcentral. Lineage: Archaea; Nanobdellati; Candidatus Woesearchaeota.